Long non-coding RNA from Daphnia pulicaria, 307 nucleotides. RefSeq lists it as uncharacterized. NCBI's taxonomy places the organism in Eukaryota, Metazoa, Arthropoda, Branchiopoda, Diplostraca, Daphniidae. The transcript has 3 exons. The record is from RefSeq and is a predicted model, not a curated record.
UUUUCAUCAUGAACAUUUCAGUGUGCAUCUUAGAAAAGAGCAUGUAAGAGAUCCUUAAGCCAAUGCUGAUCAUUGUCCAUGACGGAAGAGGGACUUCCACCUACGUUCUGCUACGUCCUUAUCUUCCCGACGUACGCUCAUCCAGCUUCACUGCUUCAGUGCUUCUUAUGCUGCAAAACAACUUUUCUUGCUUCACUGGCGAGGCUUGAUCACUUCAGUUGCUGUGACACACCUGCAAUCACUCACCACGGGAUAACGGCCAGGUAAUGCAGAGAAAACGUCGAGAAGAUGGACACCAAAACGUCGC